GGGGAGGACCAUCGAGGAGUGCGAGGCCGACGCCGUGGCCGGGAGAUUCCCGGCUCCCCCGCCGUUGGUCAGACCCAAGGCUCCCGAAGGAACACCUCAGAUCAGGCCUCUUGACUUGACAAAGCGCCCUCGUCGCAACCGCAGGUCGCCUGCUCUUAGGGCCGCAUUCCAGGAGACCACCAUCUCACCUGCCAAUUUGGUGCUCC
This 206-nucleotide unclassified non-coding RNA is filed under the name Hevea brasiliensis (rubber tree). The record is from RNAcentral. Lineage: Eukaryota; Viridiplantae; Streptophyta; Magnoliopsida; Malpighiales; Euphorbiaceae.